This is an RNA transcript of Nannospalax galili (Upper Galilee mountains blind mole rat), 1258 nucleotides long. It is a transcript of the gene named splicing factor 45 pseudogene, with no coding region annotated. Lineage: Eukaryota; Metazoa; Chordata; Mammalia; Rodentia; Spalacidae. The record is from RefSeq and is a predicted model, not a curated record. The transcript has a single exon.
CCCGAAAACGUGUCCCUGUAUGAUGACCUGGGAGUGGAGAUCAGUGACUCAAAAACCGAAGGCUGGUCCAAAAACUUCAAACUUCUGCAGUCCCGGUUUCAGGUGAAGAAGGCAGCCCUCACUCAAGCGAAGAGCCAGCGGACAAAACAAAGUCCAGUCCCUGCCCCCGUCAUUGACCUAAAGCGAGAGGGAUGCUCUGAUGACCGACAGAUUGUGGACACACCACCUCACGUAGCCGCUGGGCUGAAGGACCCUGUUUCCUGUGGGUUUUCCGCAGAAGUGCUGAUUCCUUAGCUGAUGAAUAUGAUCCUGUUUCCUAAUGACUAUGAGAAAGUGGUGAAACGCCACAGAAGAGCGGGAACGGCAGCGGGAGCUGGAGCGGCAGAGGGAAACAGAAGGGAGAAGAGGCGUAAAGACAGGCAUGAAGCUAGUGGGUUUUCAAGGCGACCAGACCCAGAUUCUGAUGAAGAUGAAGACUACAAGCGAGCGAGAGCGGAGGAAAAGAAGCAUGGGAGGAGCUGCCAUGGCGCCAUCUACUUCUCUUGUAGAGAAAGACAAGGAAUUACCCCUAGAUUUUCCUUAUGAAGAGGUCUCCAGACCUCCAUCACAGUCUUCCAAAGCUGCUAUUCCUCCCCCGGUAUGUGAGGAACCUGAUACACCAAGAUCUCCAACUGGGCCCAGCAACACCUUCCUUGUUAACAUGGGUGGCACAGUAGUACAUAAGAUCAUGCAGAAGUACGGCUUCCGGGAAGGCCAGGGCCUGGGGAAGCAUGAGCAGGGGCUGAGUAAGGCACUGUCGGUGGAGAAGACUAGCAAGCUGGGCGGCAAGAACAUCGUGGGUGAUGCCACGGGAAGGGCGAGUCUCAGGAUGCAUCCAAGAAGUCGGAUUCAAAUCCUUUCCUACUAAAGUGGUCUUGCUGUGGAACACGGUUGGUGCGGGAGAGGUAGAUGAACACUUGGAAGUUGAAACCAAGGAAGAAUGUGAAAAAUAUGGCAAGAUUGGAAAAUAUGUGAUAUCUGAGAUUCCUGGUGCCCCUGAUGAUGAAGCAGUAAGGAUGUUUUUAGAAUUUGAGAGAGUUGUAUCAGCAAUUAAAGCUGUUGUUGAUCUGAAUGGGAGGUAUUCUGGUGGACGGGUGGUUAAAGCAUGUUUCCACAACUUGGAUAAAUUCAGGGUGUUGGAUCUGGUGGAACAAGUUUGAUUUUAAGAGCUAGUCAUCUCCAAUGAUCCUUAAUGAGCUGCAGACUGAGCGAUGAAACA